RNAcentral lists this ribosomal RNA (459 nucleotides) under uncultured bacterium. RNAcentral's name for it is "partial 16S ribosomal RNA". It matches the Rfam family "Bacterial small subunit ribosomal RNA", at positions 339 to 795 of the family's 1533-position model. The record is from RNAcentral.
CAACGGGCGGCACCAGUAAGGAAUAUUGCGCAAUGGAGGCAACUCUGACGCAGCCAUGCCGCGUGCAGGAAGAAGGCCUUAUGGGUCGUAAACUGCUUUUAUUUAGGAAUAAACCCCCGAACGUGUUCGGGGCUGAAGGUACUAAACGAAUAAGCACCGGCUAACUCCGUGCCAGCAGCCGCGGUAAUACGGAGGGUGCAAGCGUUAUCGGGAUUUAUUGGGUUUAAAGGGUGCGCAGGCGGGCUAUUAAGUCAGUGGUGAAAUCCCGGGGCUCAACUCCGGAACUGCCAUUGAUACUGAUAGUCUUGAGUUUGGUUGAAGUGGGCGGAAUGUAGCAUGUAGCGGUGAAAUGCAUAGAUAUGCUACAGAACACCAAUCGCGAAGGCAGCUCACUAAGCCAAAACUGACGCUCAUGCACGAAAGCGUGGGGAUCAAACAGGAUUAGAUACCCUUGUAGUC